This 94-nucleotide microRNA precursor is filed under the name Canis lupus familiaris (dog). Its description in RNAcentral is "mir-8799 microRNA precursor family". It matches the Rfam family "mir-8799 microRNA precursor family". RNAcentral also lists the same sequence under 1 other name. The record is from Rfam by way of RNAcentral. Lineage: Eukaryota; Metazoa; Chordata; Mammalia; Carnivora; Canidae.
AAGGGGAGCCCCAGAUCCUGGGCUGUGUCCCCCAGCGCCCUGAGCUCUAGGGCCUGGACCACUGGAAUCGCACUCCCAGGCCACGCAGCCCCCU